GAAUGAGUGGAGCUUGCUCCAUGAUUCAGCGGCGGACGGGUGAGUAAUGCCUAGGAAUCUGCCUGGUAGUGGGGGACAACGUUUCGAAAGGAACGCUAAUACCGCAUACGUCCUACGGGAGAAAGUGGGGGAUCUUCGGACCUCACGCUAUCAGAUGAGCCUAGGUCGGAUUAGCUAGUUGGUGAGGUAAAGGCUCACCAAGGCGACGAUCCGUAACUGGUCUGAGAGGAUGAUCAGUCACACUGGAACUGAGACACGGUCCAGACUCCUACGGGAGGCAGCAGUGGGGAAUAUUGGACAAUGGGCGAAAGCCUGAUCCAGCCAUGCCGCGUGUGUGAAGAAGGUCUUCGGAUUGUAAAGCACUUUAAGUUGGGAGGAAGGGCAGUAAGUUAAUACCUUGCUGUUUUGACGUUACCAACAGAAUAAGCACCGGCUAACUUCGUGCCAGCAGCCGCGGUAAUACGAAGGGUGCAAGCGUUAAUCGGAAUUACUGGGCGUAAAGCGCG
This 506-nucleotide ribosomal RNA is filed under the name Pseudomonas sp. LBA14. Its description in RNAcentral is "bacterial SSU rRNA". It matches the Rfam family "Bacterial small subunit ribosomal RNA", at positions 68 to 569 of the family's 1533-position model. Lineage: Bacteria; Pseudomonadati; Pseudomonadota; Gammaproteobacteria; Pseudomonadales; Pseudomonadaceae. The record is from RNAcentral.